AUUGUGUAUGUUCCCAUUCCGUGUUCAUCCAAAAAGAGGGAGAGGCGAGGGCUUAUUACCAGGCGUGAGAUAGUUCCAUGGUAUCUCCCUUGACCUAUAACCUAGAAAGGGUGGCCUGUGACACACUGUAUUUAAAGAGUUCAGCUCUAGAACUGACAAUUUACCAGAGAAACUCAAGAUACCGUACUUUCUGAGAAUUAAUUCUCAAGAUUAAAAACUCAGCAAGGAGUUCACCGUGAGAAGAAUUCAAUGAAGAACAAGUACUUUCAACAAAAGCCGAAUUUCAACUUUGAUUCACUGACCUGGGGAAAGACAUCAUCAGCCCCCAUGUCUUAGUUUGCCCAGAGAAGUCCCAGUUGGGUCUUGUGACCUCCUCACCCAGACCCCCUUUCAUCCGCAGAGUCCCAUUUUGGACAGUAUACUGCACAGUCACCCUGCAAAGAGGUGUCCACAUGCUAUGGCUUCCCCCACCCCCACCCCCGUGACAUGGUAGAACCAAAGGAAAAAGGAUAUUUUUACAAACUGAGAGGGGGCCCCCUUCUGUAGGAGGGGAAUUCUCCCAGCAUUUUCCAUUCAGAGACUAUCUGCUCCUACUCUAUGAGUUGGAAAUGUAGGAACUGACUAUUUUACAAUGCCUUUUUUAGUGUACAUCACUGUCUUGGUAUCAAAGACACACUGGGGCACACUUCCUUUCCUGGAGUCUCAUGGUUUACUUCCUUUACAUGACGCUUUAAUGUAUUUCCAUGCGAUAUAAAUUUAUGAUCAUAACCUUAUGGGCCUCCACUCAUUUGUUUAUCCAUGCGUCCAGUCAGCCAUUCAUCUGUUCAGGCAACACAUAUUCACUGAGACCUACUCUGUGUCUUAGGAUGUCACAGUGAGGAGGAUAGGGCCAGGACUCAGCCCACCAGAAGCAGGUGUCCAGUGCAAACAUAUAAAGAUGUACAAGUAACCACCAUUUGUGAAAAUUACGUGGAAGGAGAUAAGUAAGUUUUUCAUUUUCAGUUUUACUCCACAGAGCUAACGAAAAGGGAAAUGAAAGAGACAGAUACCUCUCCCCACGUGUUUCAUUAUUGAACAGCUCAUGUAUUUUAUACUGAAAGAGCUUCAGAAUAGGGUCUGAUGAGGACAUUCCAGUCACAGAGUUUUAGCCAAAUAGAAUGCAGACAUCUACACAACUAAAGUUCAGUUUAAAAAACAAAAACAAGGAGCCCAAGGCCAGACCAUCAGGAACUGUCCACACUCCAUUUGGCCCUGGCCGCUAAUUAACUUCCUCCAAAGGCCCCAGGUGUUCUUUUGCUCCAAAUCAAUACCCAUGAGGCCUGGUUCAGUCUUCCAUUUCAGUAGCUCCCCUUGUGGGUCCCUCAGAGAAAAUGAGGGCAGUGUUAGAAUUUUACAACCACAAAUGAGCUUUUCCACCUCACUUUGGAAACAUUGAGCCAUCCCUCCAAAGUUUGGAAGACGGAAAGACUGCUCAAGAAAAUCUGCUGGAAAAUUUGAGAGCUAAGAGAAAUGUCAGGAAUAUCAUCUUUCAUCAUGGAAUUUCUCCGCACUGCUGUGGUCUCCCGUGAGUCAGCAGGAGGAACUUGGCCACACUGCAGCGUCAGGCCUCAAAUCAGCAGGGCUGUGUCAGGGUCCUGGCCCCGGGGCGGGGGUGGGGGGAAUAUGUGGAGGGUAAGUUGCCAGCCCAGCGAUGCAGGCUGCUUUGAGUGUGUGACACUAACCCUCCUAAGCCAAGUUCAACCCCCCUGGGUUCUUGGCUGGGCUGUCUCUGAGAAGCUCAUCUGCCUUUGUUCUUUUUCCAACAUUUGCCUCCUGCCACUCUCCCCAAAACUUUCUCUUCAGUGCCAAGAGUGGGUCUCCUAGAGAACCAGAUGCCAUCCUUCCCCGAGACUUCCACGAAGGAUGGGAUAGGCCUUCAGUCACCCCACCACCUCCUCUUCCUCUCUACCACACAGUGACUUCCUGAGCAGACAUUGAAAGUAAUAGUUUGGUCCUAAUAGAGUAAGGGAUCCUGUAGUCAGUGGCCUUCCAUGAAGCCUCCUUUUUUUUUUUUUUUCUAAAUAUUUUAUUUAUGUAUUU
This is a long non-coding RNA of Mustela erminea (ermine), 2079 nucleotides long. RefSeq lists it as uncharacterized. The record is from RefSeq and is a predicted model, not a curated record. NCBI's taxonomy places the organism in Eukaryota, Metazoa, Chordata, Mammalia, Carnivora, Mustelidae. The transcript is spliced from 3 exons.